This is a long non-coding RNA of Bubalus bubalis (water buffalo), 2200 nucleotides long. RefSeq lists it as uncharacterized. The transcript is spliced from 5 exons. The record is from RefSeq and is a predicted model, not a curated record. Lineage: Eukaryota; Metazoa; Chordata; Mammalia; Artiodactyla; Bovidae.
CAGGGUGCAGACCUCCCCAGGGCUGCAGCCGAGGGGCUCACAUAGCAGGACCCCCGUGCGCGCGCAGGUGCAGCGCUGGGAGCAGUCGUCGUUCACGAAGCUGUCCCCCUGCUGGAGAGGGAAAAGGCCCGGGAAGCAGGGGCGCCUGCUUGACCUCCAGGGCUGGGCUGUCCUUUCGCGCCUGCGCUCCCCCGGGGCCUCCCACUUCCAGCCCUGACCUGGUAGUAGAUGCCGUUCUCGGUGCAGCCGCAGUGGGCCAGGGGGAGGCUCUGGGCUCCGCUGUAGACGUAGCCCGGGAGGCUGGCACAGCCCUCCACACAGGGGCCCUUGCAGCCCCGGGGGGCUGCCAGCGUGGCACAGGAGGCCGGGCAGGGUGUCAUACAGCUCUGGUAGACAGUAUUGGCUGGACAUGACAAGGCUGAGAGGACACAGUCAUAGUCAGAGGUGGCUGAGCAGGGGUAGGUCCCCCCAGGGAUGGAGAAGAAGGUCACCCAACAGAGCACAGAGCUUGCUAGAGGCAGGGAGGACCGGCUCCGUGAGUCUUUUUGUCUGUGGCACUAACUCAUGAGGAGGAUCAAAGCUGGCCGGGGUGGUGCCCGCCUCCUGGCAGAUGCUGGCAUACCCGCUGAGGACCUGGCAACGCAGCCCCUCCUGCUCCUUGGGGUCGCGGGCGGCACACAGGUCAGACACACAGUGCCUGGGGGACAGCAGGGACAGGUGGGGGGCUGUCAGACACGGGGAGGGAGGCCAGGAGACCCAGCCCUGCAGAAGAGGCCCUGGAAGCCCCAUCAGAGAGUGGGCCGGUGCGCCGUGGGGAUGUGUGUGCGUGUGUGUGACAAGGUACUACGGACAGAAUUGUGCCCAACAGAGAGCCAGAGAACAAGCCACAGGAGCUGGAUAAAGGGUCUCGGGUCCCCGACUCACUCCAGGAAGGGCUCGGGGGCCACAGUCUGGUGACAGACAGCAAAGGGGCCCUCGGGGUCCGCCAGCACCCCACACGCCUGGGUGUGGUUGAUGAGCUGCAGCUCCUCCAGGUGGCAUCCCGACACACCAAGAAAGCCUAGCGCCGCUUCCUCUUUCACUUCCUCCUCCUGUACAGCCCUGGGCAGAGACAGUGAAGAUCCAGGUGAGGCCCACAGGGCUGCGAUUGAAGGAACCAGGGAGGGGAGGGCCCGGGCACAGGCUGAGAUCCACAGGACGGGUGUCUCGCAGUUGGCGGGAGAGGAAAGAUGUGACAGGAUGAGAAGAAUCAGGCCCAUCUGAGCCCUCGGUCUCAGGGCUCCUCCUCUGCUGAGCAAGUGCAGUUGCCGCACAGGCCGAGCACAAGCUUCCGGAACACUCCCUUUGGCCCACUGGUUCCCACAGUCUGGCACCUGCAUUGUUCUUUCCAUUGAAGCUGACCACCAGCUCAAAGUCCGUGAUCACGAACAGGCGAUCGCUUCGUAGGGAGACCCGCAGCUGGUCGACGGGCUCAUAGGGGGCAGUCACCUUCUGACCAUUGACCUGGAGGAGGCAGAUGGGAGCCACAGGAAAGCCUGAAUCAAGGCAGGUUCUUUACCACAAGCGCCACGUGGGUUCAAUUCCUGGUCUGGGAAGAUCUCACAUACCGUGGAGCAACUGAGCCCGUGCGCCGCAACUACUGAGCCUGAGCUCUAGAGCCCGGGAGCCGCAACUACCGCGUUCAUGAGUGGCAGCUCCUGAAGCCCGAGCACCUGGAGCCUGUGCUCUGCAACAAGAGAAGCCACUGCAAUGAGACGCCUGAGCACCGCAACGAAGAGUAGCCCCGCUCACCACAACUAGACGAAGCCCGUGUGCAGCAACGAGGGCCCAGUGUGGCCAAAACUAAAUGAAUAAAUAAAAUUAUAUUUAAAAAGGUGACUCUCUGCUGCUUUGGCCUCCGCUUCCCUGCACAUCUCCGGACCUUGUGGUUCCAUCAUUCUCUGCAACAGGAUACUCCAGGAAGCUUUACUAUCCCAAAUGCCAAAAGCAUCUCUGAGGUCUGCUCCUAUUGCAGCCCCUUUCUUUGCAAAAAAAAGAAAACAACUGGCAGGAGGGCAUCCCUGGUGCUUCUUCAGACUGCCUGUUGGAUCUUCCCUUCUCCCCACUGCCCCACCUCUCCCCCACCUUACCUGAAAUCCUCCUGCCCACCUUGGGCUCCCAAGGAGGUAAGUGCAGCACCGAUUCUGAUUUCUACAGCUAG